This 76-nucleotide transfer RNA is filed under the name Syntrophaceae bacterium PtaB.Bin038. RNAcentral's name for it is "tRNA-Lys". It matches the Rfam family "tRNA". Rfam says of the family: Transfer RNA (tRNA) molecules are approximately 80 nucleotides in length. Their secondary structure includes four short double-helical elements and three loops (D, anti-codon, and T loops). Further hydrogen bonds mediate the characteristic L-shaped molecular structure. tRNAs have two regions of fundamental functional importance: the anti-codon, which is responsible for specific mRNA codon recognition, and the 3' end, to which the tRNAs corresponding amino acid is attached (by aminoacyl-tRNA synthetases). tRNAs cope with the degeneracy of the genetic code in two manners: having more than one tRNA (with a specific anti-codon) for a particular amino acid; and 'wobble' base-pairing, i.e. permitting non-standard base-pairing at the 3rd anti-codon position. RNAcentral also lists the same sequence under 5 other names. Lineage: Bacteria; Pseudomonadati; Thermodesulfobacteriota; Syntrophia; Syntrophales; Syntrophaceae. The record is from RNAcentral.
GGGCCGCUAGCUCAGUUGGUAGAGCAGCUGACUCUUAAUCAGCGGGUCGCAGGUUCGAUCCCUGUGCGGCCCACCA